GAAAGCUCUCACACUGACCAAUAGAAAUUUUAAAUUAAUUUUAAAAGCAACUAAAGGCUUCCUACAUGUAGAAAGAAAGGCUGAAAAUGAAGACGAAGAUUUAAGAGAAGAGAUACUUUGCACUUUGGGCACUUCAGCUGGUGGUUAAGGAGCAUGUUUAUAUCUGGUGGCUUGACAUUUAUGAGCUCCUAAAGGCAAAGAGGGUACACUCCCUACUGUCUUGUAAAAUGGGCCAAGUAAAGAGGAUUCCAGGAUUACGCAAGGGAGAACCCACUAAAUGAAUAAAUUAUGGCCUCAAUGACCAUGUGAAGUAGACUAUAUUACACGCUUCCUCCAGCCACAUUCUGGCAUGAGGUAAGUUGGGAGGGAAUGUGUUCUAUGUUAAGCCAUUAAAGCUUUCAAGUCAUUUCCUAU
RNAcentral lists this long non-coding RNA (414 nucleotides) under Chinchilla lanigera (long-tailed chinchilla). RNAcentral's name for it is "lncRNA (ENSCLAG00000022765.1)". Lineage: Eukaryota; Metazoa; Chordata; Mammalia; Rodentia; Chinchillidae. The record is from RNAcentral.